This 331-nucleotide ribosomal RNA is filed under the name uncultured bacterium. RNAcentral describes it as "bacterial SSU rRNA". It matches the Rfam family "Bacterial small subunit ribosomal RNA", at positions 568 to 898 of the family's 1533-position model. The record is from RNAcentral.
CGUGUAGGCGGCUCAUCAAGUCUGGUGUGAAAUCGACAGGCUCAACCUGUCAUAUGCGCUGGAAACUGGUGGGCUUGAGUUCUGGAGGGGAAGCUGGAAUUCCAGGUGUAGGGGUGAAAUCUGUAGAUAUCUGGAAGAACACCGGUGGCGAAGGCGAGCUUCUAUCCGAGGACUGACGCUGAGGCGCGAAAGCGUGGGGAGCAAACAGGAUUAGAUACCCUGGUAGUCCAACGCUGUAAACGAUGUGCACUAGGCGUGGGGCACGUACGUGCUCUGUGCCGUAGUUAACGUGUUAAGUGCACCGCCUGGGGAGUAUGCUCGCAAGGGUGAA